CAGGACUCGCAAGACUCCUACAACCCUGUGAACUUCACUAUAAGCACGUUGCUUCGGCGGGUGUCGCGGCGCGGGUCUUCCCGCACCGGGGCGCGGGUCUUCCCGCACCGGGGCGCUAAGCCCGCCGGCAGCCUACUAUACUCUGUUUCUCUGCGUUGGCAUCUCGAGAAAAAACAAACAAGUUA
This 185-nucleotide unclassified non-coding RNA is filed under the name uncultured fungus. RNAcentral's name for it is "sequence contains ITS1, 5.8S rRNA gene". Lineage: Eukaryota; Fungi. The record is from RNAcentral.